GAAUGGGUUACGAAGAAGAGCUGGUCACCCCAUUGAUAGCCAGGGUUGAUUCGGCUGAUCUGGCUGGCUAGGCGGGUGUCCCCUUCCUCCCUCACUGCUCCAUGUGUGUCCCUCCUGAAGCUGCGCGCUCGGUCGAAGAGGACGGCCUUUCCCAAAUAGAGACGGACCAGUCUUCGGUCAAGGGUAUAUGAGUAGCUGCGCUCCCCUGCUAGAACCUCCAAACAAGCUCUCAAGAAGAAGAGCUAUUAAAUUUAUCUCCAGAGGAAAAAAUGUUUAUUCAU
Molecule: non-coding RNA, 281 nt
Organism: Erinaceus europaeus (western European hedgehog)
Lineage: Eukaryota; Metazoa; Chordata; Mammalia; Eulipotyphla; Erinaceidae
Source: Rfam